This is a non-coding RNA of Hordeum vulgare subsp. vulgare (domesticated barley), 125 nucleotides long. NCBI's taxonomy places the organism in Eukaryota, Viridiplantae, Streptophyta, Magnoliopsida, Poales, Poaceae. The record is from Rfam.
UAUAUACUCCCUUCGUCUGGAAAUACUUGUCUUAAAAAAUGGAUAUAAUGGAUGUAUCUAUAAUUAAAAUAAAUCUAGAUACAUUCAUCUUUAGGACAAGUAUUUCCGGACGGAGGAAGUAGUUG